GGAUCAAUAUUUUGGUCAUGCCGUUGGUAUGCACUGUUAUCAUUGAUUUCUCACCUUCUAAAGAACUGUAAUGCCAUUAAUUUGGUGUUACAGGAAAUUAGGACUAUUACCUUGAAAAAAUUAGAGUGUUUAAAGUAGACUCACGCUUGAAUACAUUAGCAUAGAAUAAUGAAAUAGGACAUCUGAUUCUAUUUUGUUAGUUUCUAGGAUCGAUGUA
RNAcentral lists this unclassified non-coding RNA (217 nucleotides) under uncultured Glomus. Its description in RNAcentral is "sequence contains 18S rRNA gene". It matches the Rfam family "Eukaryotic small subunit ribosomal RNA", at positions 666 to 864 of the family's 1831-position model. The record is from RNAcentral. Lineage: Eukaryota; Fungi; Glomeromycota; Glomeromycetes; Glomerales; Glomeraceae.